RNAcentral lists this ribosomal RNA (169 nucleotides) under uncultured bacterium. RNAcentral's name for it is "partial 16S ribosomal RNA". It matches the Rfam family "Bacterial small subunit ribosomal RNA", at positions 1317 to 1500 of the family's 1533-position model. The record is from RNAcentral.
UACAUGAAGCUGGAAUUGCUAGUAAUCACAGGUCAGCAUACUGUGGUGAAUACGUUCCCGGGCCUUGUACACACCGCCCGUCACACCAUGAGAGUUGAGAAUACCCGAAGUCCAUGUCAAAGUGGCCGAAGGUAGGCUUGAUGAUUGGGUGAAGUCGUAACAAGGUAAC